GCCUAACACAUGCAAGUCGAGCGGUAGAGAGAAGCUUGCUUCUCUUGAGAGCGGCGGACGGGUGAGUAAUGCCUAGGAAUCUGCCUGGUAGUGGGGGAUAACGUUCGGAAACGAACGCUAAUACCGCAUACGUCCUACGGGAGAAAGCAGGGGACCUUCGGGCCUUGCGCUAUCAGAUGAGCCUAGGUCGGAUUAGCUAGUUGGUGAGGUAAUGGCUCACCAAGGCGACGAUCCGUAACUGGUCUGAGAGGAUGAUCAGUCACACUGGAACUGAGACACGGUCCAGACUCCUACGGGAGGCAGCAGUGGGGAAUAUUGGACAAUGGGCGAAAGCCUGAUCCAGCCAUGCCGCGUGUGUGAAGAAGGUCUUCGGAUUGUAAAGCACUUUAAGUUGGGAGGAAGGGCAGUUACCUAAUACGUGAUUGUUUUGACGUUACCGACAGAAUAAGCACCGGCUAACUCUGUGCCAGCAGCCGCGGUAAUACAGAGGGUGCAAGCGUUAAUCGGAAUUACUGGGCGUAAAGCGCGCGUAGGUGGUUUGUUAAGUUGGAUGUGAAAUCCCCGGGCUCAACCUGGGAACUGCAUUCAAAACUGACUGACUAGAGUAUGGUAGAGGGUGGUGGAAUUUCCUGUGUAGCGGUGAAAUGCGUAGAUAUAGGAAGGAACACCAGUGGCGAAGGCGACCACCUGGACUAAUACUGACACUGAGGUGCGAAAGCGUGGGGAGCAAACAGGAUUAGAUACCCUGGUAGUCCACGCCGUAAACGAUGUCAACUAGCCGUUGGAAGCCUUGAGCUUUUAGUGGCGCAGCUAACGCAUUAAGUUGACCGCCUGGGGAGUACGGCCGCAAGGUU
RNAcentral lists this ribosomal RNA (854 nucleotides) under Pseudomonas extremorientalis. RNAcentral describes it as "bacterial SSU rRNA". It matches the Rfam family "Bacterial small subunit ribosomal RNA", at positions 46 to 895 of the family's 1533-position model. Lineage: Bacteria; Pseudomonadati; Pseudomonadota; Gammaproteobacteria; Pseudomonadales; Pseudomonadaceae. The record is from RNAcentral.